AACGAACGCUGGAGGCAUGCCUUAUACAUGCAAGUCGAACGCGAAAGUACCUUCGGGUAUCAGUAGAGUGGCAAACGGGUGUGUAAUGCGUGGGAAUAUACCUUAUAGUACGGAAUAGCCUCGGGAAACUGGGAUUAAUACCGUAUACGCCCUUAGGGGGAAAGAUUUAUCGCUAUAAGAUUAGCCCGCGUCAGAUUAGCUAGUUGGUGGGGUAACGGCCUACCAAGGCAACGAUCUGUAGCUGGUCUGAGAGGAUGACCAGCCACAUUGGGACUGAGAUACGGCCCAAGCUCCUACGGGAGGCAGCAGUAGGGAAUAUUGGACAAUGGGGGAAACCCUGAUCCAGCAAUGCCUCGUGAGUGAUGAAGGCCUUAGGGUUGUAAAGCUCUUUUAGUGGGGAAGAUAAUGACGGUACCCACAGAAAAAGCACCGGCUAACUCCGUGCCAGCCGCCGCGGUAA
This 460-nucleotide ribosomal RNA is filed under the name uncultured bacterium. RNAcentral describes it as "partial 16S ribosomal RNA". It matches the Rfam family "Bacterial small subunit ribosomal RNA", at positions 29 to 523 of the family's 1533-position model. The record is from RNAcentral.